Odocoileus virginianus texanus is the source of this 946-nucleotide non-coding RNA. The record is from RefSeq and is a predicted model, not a curated record. NCBI's taxonomy places the organism in Eukaryota, Metazoa, Chordata, Mammalia, Artiodactyla, Cervidae.
UACUAUAUAUAUCUAGCUAUUCUACUUGUGAAUAUAUACUCUGAAGAAUUGAAAGUAGAGACUCAAGUAUUUGUACACUUAUGUUCAUGGCAGCAUUAUUAUAAUAACCAAAAUGUGUAAGCAGACCACAUGUCCAUUGAUAGAUGAAUGGAUUUAAAAAAUGUAGUGUAGCCCGGCGCUCCCUCCCCACCCCCCAGGUCCGCCAGCCGCCACCAUGUCCGCCUCGGCUGUCUUCAUCCUCGACGUCAAGGGCAAGCCCCUGAUCAGCUGCAACUACAAGGGUGAUGUGGCCUUGAGUGAGAUCGAUCACUUCAUGCCUCUGCUAAUGCAGCGGGAGGAGGAAGGUGUGCUGACCCCACUACUGAGUCAUGGACGGGUCCACUUCCUGUGGAUCAAAUACAGCAACCUCUACUUGGUGGCCACCACACUGAAGAAUGCCAACGCCUCCCUGGUGUAUUCCUUCCUCUACAAGAUAGUGGAGGUAUUCUCUGAAUACUUCAAAGAGCUGGAGGAGGAGAGUAUCCGAGACAACUUUGUCAUCAUCUACGAACUGCUGGAUGAGCUUAUGGACUUCGGCUUCCCACAGACCACAGACAGCAAAAUCCUGCAGGAGUACAUCACGCAGCAGGGCAACAAGCUGGAGACGGGCAAGUCACGAGUGCCACCCACUGUCACCAAUGCUGUGUCCUGGCACUCGGAGGGCAUUAAGUACAAGAAGAAUGAGGUCUUCAUCGAUGUCAUAGAGUCCGUUAACGUGCUGGUCAAUGCCAACGGCAGUGUCCUGCUGAGUGAGAUCGUGGGCACUAUCAAGCUCAAGGUGUUUCUGUCGGGAAUGCCAGAGCUGCAGCUGGACCUCAGUGACCGUGUACUCUUCGAGCUCACUGGCCGGAGCAAGAAGAAGUCUGUGGAGCUGGAGGAUGUGAAAUUCCACCAGUGUGUGCGGCUC